RNAcentral lists this ribosomal RNA (450 nucleotides) under uncultured bacterium. RNAcentral's name for it is "partial 16S ribosomal RNA". It matches the Rfam family "Bacterial small subunit ribosomal RNA", at positions 329 to 793 of the family's 1533-position model. The record is from RNAcentral.
UUCCAGACUCCUACGGGAGGCAGCAGUGGGGAAUAUUGGGCAAUGGGCGCAAGCCUGACCCAGCAACGCCGCGUGAAGGAAGAAGGCCCUCGGGUUGUAAACUUCUUUUAUCAGGGACGAAACAAAUGACGGUACCUGAUGAAUAAGCCACGGCUAACUACGUGCCAGCAGCCGCGGUAAUACGUAGGGGGCAAGCGUUAUCCGGAUUCACUGGGUGUAAAGGGGGCGCAGACGGCGAUGCAAGCCAGGAGUGAAAGCCCGGGGCCCAACCCCGGGACUGCUCUUGGAACUGCGUGGCUAGAGUGCAGGAGGGGCAGGCGGAAUUCCUGGUGUAGCGGUGAAAUGCGUAGAUAUAAGGAAGAACACCAGUGGCGAAGGCGGAUGACUGGACGGCAACUGACGGUGAGGCGCGAAAGCGUGGGGAGCAAACAGGAUUAGAUACCCCAGUAC